UCGGGAAACAGAGAACGAAGAUAACUCUUUGUAACUAAUACUGAUAUUGGAGUCAUCUUGUUAUGAAUUAGCUCAAACUGCAUAUAGAAUGCCUCAAAAGUGCAGCAUAUAAUAUUGAAACUUGAUAAUCAUGUUCCAGGGAGGCAUCUGUGUGUUAAAGCUUGAAUAUAAUUCAUGCAUAAGAGCUGAUUCCAUUUGAAAUUGUAAUCAUUACUAUGACAACCUUAUGAUCUUUGAUUACACAUGAAGUAUGAAACUAGACUGAAAAUCUUACAGUUUUGGAGUCCCCAAAGUCUCCAAUGGCACUGCUAGCAAUAGAGUACAACCUAAGCUUGUGAGGUUUCCCAUUCUUGUCUUCGCCAUCCGCGAUAAUUCCAAUGGACUGCCCUUCCUUGUAGGGUAUCUCACCUAUCAUACAAAAUUUUAACUGAUUACUACUUAAACGUAAAUCAAAAUCACAGAUAUCAGGUAAAUAUACAUAUCAGGCACUGUAGCAUCAGCCCCUGCUCUUGAUAGAAGAGAAAAGGGGCGUCACUGAAUGCCUGACUUGUAAGAAGCCCAUGUGAUUAGACGCACCUUCAGUGCUGAAGACCAUAUGCCAAGUCUCACCAGGAGCAUCAUCCCCGGUGAUCUUAGUGUUGAGAAGGCAUUUACCGACAUAAGGUUCCUUAGGCCUGUAUUUAUUAGUAACUAUAUCUUUAUCCACUUUCUUCGAAACCUUCUCAACUUUAGCUGGAGCCUCUGUUGUCACCUGAGCUCUA
RNAcentral lists this long non-coding RNA (761 nucleotides) under Daucus carota (carrot). RNAcentral describes it as "long non-coding RNA (DCAR_LNC004379)". Lineage: Eukaryota; Viridiplantae; Streptophyta; Magnoliopsida; Apiales; Apiaceae. The record is from RNAcentral.